GGAAUCUUCCACAAUGGGCGAAAGCCUGAUGGAGCAACGCCGCGUGUGUGAUGAAGGCUUUCGGGUCGUAAAGCACUGUUGUAUGGGGAGAACAGCUAGAAUAGGAAAUGAUUUUAGUUUGACGGUACCAUACCAGAAAGGGACGGCUAAAUACGUGCCAG
This 161-nucleotide ribosomal RNA is filed under the name uncultured bacterium. RNAcentral's name for it is "partial 16S rRNA". It matches the Rfam family "Bacterial small subunit ribosomal RNA", at positions 358 to 511 of the family's 1533-position model. The record is from RNAcentral.